This 253-nucleotide ribosomal RNA is filed under the name uncultured bacterium. RNAcentral describes it as "partial 16S ribosomal RNA". It matches the Rfam family "Bacterial small subunit ribosomal RNA", at positions 524 to 776 of the family's 1533-position model. The record is from RNAcentral. RNAcentral also lists the same sequence under 1 other name.
UACAGAGGUCCCGAGCGUUGUUCGGAUUCAUUGGGCGUAAAGGGUGCGUAGGCGGCGGGGCAAGUCUGAUGUGAAAUCCCGGGGCUCAACCCCGGAACUGCAUUGGAUACUGCCUUGCUUGAGUACUGGAGAGGGAACUGGAAUUUACGGUGUAGCAGUGAAAUGCGUAGAGAUCGUAAGGAAGGCCAGUGGCGAAGGCGAGUUCCUGGACAGUUACUGACGCUGAGGCACGAAGGCCAGGGGAGCAAACGGG